RNAcentral lists this ribosomal RNA (253 nucleotides) under uncultured bacterium. Its description in RNAcentral is "partial 16S ribosomal RNA". It matches the Rfam family "Bacterial small subunit ribosomal RNA", at positions 524 to 776 of the family's 1533-position model. The record is from RNAcentral.
UACCUGCAGCCCGAGUGGUGGCCGUUAUUAUUGGGCCUAAAACGUCCGUAGCCGGCUGAGUAGAUGCCUGUGUAAAUCGAACGGCUUAACCGUUCGAACUGCGGGUAGACCGCUCAGCUUGGGACCGGGAGAGUCACGAAGUACUCCGGGGGUAGAGGUGAAAUGCGCAGAUAUCAGGAGGAACACCGGUGGCGAAGGCGGGUCUCUGGGCAACAACUGACGCUGAGGAGCGAAAGCGUGGGGAGCGAACAGG